UACACAUCUUCAAAUCCAGGAGGAAUAAGAGGAAUGGAUGGUGCUGGCUGUUCAUGGAUUGCUGAAUGCUGAUUAGGAGUGUUGGUUGCUAAAUGCUGAUCUUCUGGAUGACUUGGCUGACGAACUGGCGGUGAAUUUUGAGCAGGUGGAGGAGUAUGUCUUUCCUCUAGAUAAUACUCUUAAGAUUGAGGAAGAUUGCUCGAUGACAAGGAUGAUAGUGAGGUGGUGAUGUGGAUUGGUCAUCUGGACUUGGAUAGUUACUGAAGAGUAAAAAUGGGGCCUUCGUUGAUGUGGAGAUUGGUGACGAAGGUGUCACUGAAGAUGAUGAUGAUGGUGGUGAUGAGGGUGGCGCCUAUGGUGGUGGCAAGUUCUAUGGGACGACAUUUGGAGGCAAUUGUUUGGUGGAGGCUUAAGGAGUAAAGGAGAAGAAAAUCAUAUAUGUAUUUAUAGGCCGUCAUUGGAUUCUCUUCUGAUUUGGUCAUUUUUGAGUUCUCUUUGGAUUCCUUGGAUUGAAUGAUUUAAAAUUUGAAUAUUUCGAGUGAUUGAUGGGGAAUCAAAUCACUGUCUUUUGGCGAUAGUUGAUUAUAGCUGCUUGUUGGUACCUGAGUAGAACUUUUGGAUGAUUGAUGGAAGGUCAUGUCUUGCUUCUUUUAUUUGAAUGGAAUCAUCUUGAAGAAGGAUUGGCAUAGUCUUUUUUUCCUUCUUCUCUUGUGCUGG
RNAcentral lists this long non-coding RNA (717 nucleotides) under Elaeis guineensis (African oil palm). Its description in RNAcentral is "long non-coding RNA (EGUI_LNC010197)". The record is from RNAcentral. Lineage: Eukaryota; Viridiplantae; Streptophyta; Magnoliopsida; Arecales; Arecaceae.